GUUGUUGGGUAGGGGAGCGUUCUGUAAGCCUGUGAAGGUGUACUGUGAGGUAUGCUGGAGGUAUCAGAAGUGCGAAUGCUGACAUAAGUAACGAUAAAGCGGGUGAAAAGCCCGCUCGCCGGAAGACCAAGGGUUCCUGUCCAACGUUAAUCGGGGCAGGGUGAGUCGACCCCUAAGGCGAGGCCGAAAGGCGUAGUCGAUGGGAAACAGGUUAAUAUUCCUGUACUUGGUGUUACUGCGAAGGGGGGACGGAGAAGGCUAUGUUGGCCGGGCGACGGUUGUCCCGGUUUAAGCGUGUAGGCUGGUUUUCCAGGCAAAUCCGGAAAAUCAAGGCUGAGGCGUGAUGACGAGGCACUACGGUGCUGAAGCAACAAAUGCCCUGCUUCCAGGAAAAGCCUCUAAGCAUCAGGUAACAUCAAAUCGUACCCCAAACCGACACAGGUGGUCAGGUAGAGAAUACCAAGGCGCUUGAGAGAACUCGGGUGAAGGAACUAGGCAAAAUGGUGCCGUAACUUCGGGAGAAGGCACGCUGAUAUGUAGGUGAAGUGAUUUACUCAUGGAGCUGAAAUCAGUCGAAGAUACCAGCUGGCUGCAACUGUUUAUUAAAAACACAGCACUGUGCAAACACGAAAGUGGACGUAUACGGUGUGACGCCUGCCCGGUGCCGGAAGGUUA
This 675-nucleotide ribosomal RNA is filed under the name Escherichia coli. RNAcentral describes it as "bacterial LSU rRNA". It matches the Rfam family "Bacterial large subunit ribosomal RNA", at positions 1220 to 1879 of the family's 2925-position model. Lineage: Bacteria; Pseudomonadati; Pseudomonadota; Gammaproteobacteria; Enterobacterales; Enterobacteriaceae. The record is from RNAcentral.